AGAUUGAACGCUGGCGGUAUGCUUUACACAUGCAAGUCGAACGGCAGCACGGACUUCGGUCUGGUGGCGAGUGGCGAACGGGUGAGUAAUGUAUCGGAACGUGCCCAGUAGUGGGGGAUAACUACUCGAAAGAGUGGCUAAUACCGCAUGAGAUCUCUGGAUGAAAGCGGGGGACCGUAAGGCCUCGCGCUACUGGAGCGGCCGAUAUCAGAUUAGGUAGUUGGUAGGGUAAAGGCCUACCAAGCCAACGAUCUGUAGCUGGUCUGAGAGGACGACCAGCCACACUGGAACUGAGACACGGUCCAGACUCCUACGGGAGGCAGCAGUGGGGAAUUUUGGACAAUGGACGCAAGUCUGAUCCAGCAAUACCGCGUGCAGGACGAAGGCCGUUCGGGUUGUAAACUGUCUUUUGUACGGAAACGAAAAGCCUUCUUCUAAUACAGGGGGGUCAUGACGGUACCGUAAGAAUAAGCACCGGCUAACUACGUG
This 489-nucleotide ribosomal RNA is filed under the name uncultured bacterium. RNAcentral describes it as "bacterial SSU rRNA". It matches the Rfam family "Bacterial small subunit ribosomal RNA", at positions 26 to 507 of the family's 1533-position model. The record is from RNAcentral.